UUGCCCCAGUAACGGCGAGUGAAGCGGCAAAAGCUCAAAUUUGAAAUCUGGGGUCCCCGACCCCCGAGUUGUAAUUUGGAGAGGCAUCUUCGGGGGGGAGCGCCGGCCCAUGUUCCUUGGAACAGGACGUCGCAGAGGGUGAGAAUCCCGUGCCAGGCCGGCUGCCUCCUCCCGGGUGAAGGGCCUUCGACGAGUCGAGUUGUUUGGGAAUGCAGCUCCAAGUGGGUGGUAAAUUUCAUCUAAAGCUAAAUACCGGCGGGAGACCGAUAGCGCACAAGUAGAGUGAUCGAAAGAUGAAAAGCACUUUGAAAAUAGAGUCAAAAAGUACGUGAAAUUGUUGAAAGGGAAGCGCUUGAGACCAGACUCAGGCCCGGGCAAACACCGCGCCCCACGGGGCCGUGCAAUUGCCUGGGGCUGGGCCAGCAUCAGUCGGCGUGGCGGGACAAAGGCGCGGGGAAUGUGGCUCCCCUCGGGGAGUGUUAUCAGGCCCGCGCUCAACGCCGCCGACGCCGACUGAGGACCGCGCCUCGGCUAGGAUGCUGGCUUAAUGGCCUUCAGCG
This 560-nucleotide ribosomal RNA is filed under the name Helvella sp. Its description in RNAcentral is "partial large subunit ribosomal RNA". It matches the Rfam family "Eukaryotic large subunit ribosomal RNA", at positions 75 to 646 of the family's 3401-position model. Lineage: Eukaryota; Fungi; Ascomycota; Pezizomycetes; Pezizales; Helvellaceae. The record is from RNAcentral.